This 514-nucleotide ribosomal RNA is filed under the name uncultured bacterium. RNAcentral's name for it is "bacterial SSU rRNA". It matches the Rfam family "Bacterial small subunit ribosomal RNA", at positions 501 to 1015 of the family's 1533-position model. The record is from RNAcentral.
CUACGUGCCAGCAGCCGCGGUAAUACGGAAGGUCCUGGCGUUAUCCGGAUUUAUUGGGUUUAAAGGGAGCGUAGGCCGUGGAUUAAGCGUGUUGUGAAAUGCAGGUGCUCAACGUCUGCACUGCAGCGCGAACUGGUCCACUUGAGUGUGCGCAACGCAGGCGGAAUUCGUCGUGUAGCGGUGAAAUGCUUAGAUAUGACGAAGAACUCCGAUUGCGAAGGCAGCUUGCGGGAGCACAACUGACGCUGAAGCUCGAAAGUGCGGGUAUCGAACAGGAUUAGAUACCCUGGUAGUCCGCACGGUAAACGAUGGAUGCCCGUUGUCAGGCUGUUUCAGCCUGGUGACCAAGCGAAAGCAUUAAGCAUCCCACCUGGGGAGUACGCCGGCAACGGUGAAACUCAAAGGAAUUGACGGGGGCCCGCACAAGCGGAGGAACAUGUGGUUUAAUUCGAUGAUACGCGAGGAACCUUACCCGGGCUUGAAUUGCAGACGAACGAUUCAGAGAUGAUGAGGC